RNAcentral lists this ribosomal RNA (472 nucleotides) under uncultured bacterium. RNAcentral describes it as "partial 16S ribosomal RNA". It matches the Rfam family "Bacterial small subunit ribosomal RNA", at positions 29 to 507 of the family's 1533-position model. The record is from RNAcentral.
AGUGAACGCUGGCGGUAGGCCUAACACAUGCAAGUCGAACGGCAACACAGUAAGAGCUUGCUCUUACGGGUGGCCAGUGGCGGACGGAUCAGGAAUACAUCGGAAUCUACUCUUUCGUGGGGGAUAACGUAGGGAAACUUACGCUAAUACCGCAUACGCCCUACCGGUGAAAGCAGUGGAACUUCGGACCCUGCGCGAGUGAAUGCGCCGGUGUCGGAUUAGCUAGUUGGCGGGGUAGUGGCCUACCAAGGCUACGAUGCGUAGCCGGCCUGAGAGGGUGACCGGCCACAUUGGGACUGAGAUACGGCCCAGACUCCUACGGGAGACAGCAGUGGGGAAUAUUGCACAAUGGGCGGAAGACUGAUGCAGCAACGCCGCGUGCGGGAUGACGGCCUUCGGGUUGUAAACAGCUUUCGCCUGUGACGAAGCGUGAGUGACGGUAAUGGGUAAAGAAGCACCGGCUAACUACGUG